GAUGAACGCUAGCGGAAGGCUUAAUACAUGCAAGUCGAGCGGUAGGUGGCUUCGGCCAUUGAGAGCGGCGCACGGUGAGUAACGCGUACAUGACCUGCCUGUCAGAAGGGGAUAGCCCUGGGAAACUGGGAUUAAUACCCUAUGGUAUUGAUAUUAUGAAUGAUAUCAAUUAAAAGUUGAGGCGCUGACAGAUGGAUGUGCGUCUGAUUAGCUAGUUGGUAGGGUAACGGCCUACCAAGGCGACGAUCAGUAGGGGGCGUGAGAGCGUGGUCCCCCA
This 277-nucleotide ribosomal RNA is filed under the name uncultured bacterium. Its description in RNAcentral is "partial 16S ribosomal RNA". It matches the Rfam family "Bacterial small subunit ribosomal RNA", at positions 28 to 310 of the family's 1533-position model. The record is from RNAcentral.